Molecule: ribosomal RNA, 575 nt
Filed under: uncultured bacterium
Lineage: Bacteria
Description: partial 16S ribosomal RNA
Rfam family: Bacterial small subunit ribosomal RNA
Source: RNAcentral
UGGGGAAUUUUGGAACAAUGGGCGCAAGCCUGAUCCAGCCAUGCCGCGUGCGGGAAGAAGGCCUUCGGGUUGUAAACCGCUUUUGUCAGGGAUGAAAUCUUCUGAGUUAAUACCUCGGGAGGAUGACGGUACCUGAAGAAUAAGCACCGGCUAACUACGUGCCAGCAGCCGCGGUAAUACGUAGGGUGCAAGCGUUAAUCGGAAUUACUGGGCGUAAAGCGUGCGCAGGCGGUUUUGUAAGACAGAGGUGAAAUCCCCGGGCUCAACCUGGGAACUGCCUUUGUGACUGCAAGGCUUGAGUGCGGCAGAGGGGGAUGGAAUUCCGCGUGUAGCAGUGAAAUGCGUAGAUAUGCGGAGGAACACCGAUGGCGAAGGCAAUCCCCUGGGCCUGCACUGACGCUCAUGCACGAAAGCGUGGGGAGCAAACAGGAUUAGAUAGCCCUGGUAGUCCACGCCCUAAAACGAUGUCAACUGGCUUGUUGGGAAGGUUCCUUCUCAGUAACGUAGCUAACGCGUGAAGUUGACCGCCUGGGGAGUACGGCCGCAAGGUUGAAACUUAAAUGAAUUGACGGGGU